Molecule: transfer-messenger RNA, 365 nt
Filed under: Kofleriaceae bacterium
Lineage: Bacteria; Pseudomonadati; Myxococcota; Haliangiales; Kofleriaceae
Rfam family: transfer-messenger RNA
About the family: Bacterial tmRNA, also known as 10Sa RNA or SsrA, is named for its dual tRNA and mRNA-like properties. Its role is to liberate the mRNA from a stalled ribosome.
Source: RNAcentral
GGGGACGAAACGGUUUCGACGAGGACGUAGACGAACGAGCUGCGCGUCGUGGCGCCCGAGGCCACGUAAAAACGGGCAACCCUGCAACUGCGAACGACAACAACGCCGUUGCUCUCGCUGCCUGAAUAAAACCAGGUAACGACGGUGACCUGAGCUUCCGCCUGUAGCCCAGGAUCACCGCCACAAUCAGGCUGGCCUGCCGCGAGAGACGAUCGCGCGGCAGGCGAGAAUCAGGAUCGACUCGCGCUGGUGAUGGCUGCCACCCACCUCUCACCAGGGCCAGACAAGACGAGCGGUGGCUACACGCGUAGUAGCUCGUCCCGAAGCGUUUUCGGACCCGGGUUCGACUCCCGGCGUCUCCACCG